This 752-nucleotide ribosomal RNA is filed under the name uncultured Actinomyces sp. Its description in RNAcentral is "bacterial SSU rRNA". It matches the Rfam family "Bacterial small subunit ribosomal RNA", at positions 28 to 776 of the family's 1533-position model. The record is from RNAcentral. Lineage: Bacteria; Bacillati; Actinomycetota; Actinomycetes; Actinomycetales; Actinomycetaceae.
GACGAACGCUGGCGGCGUGCUUAACACAUGCAAGUCGAACGCUGAUGGCCCAGCUUGCUGGGUUGGAUGAGUGGCGAACGGGUGAGUAACACGUGAGUAACCUGCCCUCUUCUUUGGGAUAACGGUCGGAAACGGCUGCUAAUACCGGGUAUUCACUGUCCUUCGCAUGGGGGGUGGUGGAAAGGUUUUUUCUGGUGGGGGAUGGGCUCGCGGCCUAUCAGCUUGUUGGUGGGGUGAUGGCUUACCAAGGCUUUGACGGGUAACCGGCCUGAGAGGGUGACCGGUCACAUUGGGACUGAGAUACGGCCCAGACUCCUACGGGAGGCAGCAGUGGGGAAUAUUGCACAAUGGGCGAAAGCCUGAUGCAGCGACGCCGCGUGAGGGAUGGAGGCCUUCGGGUUGUAAACCUCUUUCGCUCAUGGUCAAGCCGCAACUGUGGUUGUGGUGAGGGUAGUGGGUAAAGAAGCACCGGCUAACUACGUGCCAGCAGCCGCGGUAAUACGUAGGGUGCGAGCGUUGUCCGGAAUUAUUGGGCGUAAAGGGCUUGUAGGCGGUUUGUCGCGUCUGCCGUGAAAUCCUCUGGCUUAACUGGGGGCGUGCGGUGGGUACGGGCAGGCUUGAGUGCGGUAGGGGAGACUGGAACUCCUGGUGUAGCGGUGGAAUGCGCAGAUAUCAGGAAGAACACCGGUGGCGAAGGCGGGUCUCUGGGCCGUUACUGACGCUGAGGAGCGAAAGCGUGGGGAGCGAACAGG